RNAcentral lists this small RNA (171 nucleotides) under human gut metagenome. RNAcentral's name for it is "Bacteroidales-1 6S-Bacteroidales RNA suggested". It matches the Rfam family "Bacteroidales-1 6S-Bacteroidales RNA suggested", at positions 13 to 171 of the family's 179-position model. The record is from RNAcentral.
AGUUGAUUGGGAAACUCAUCAAAUCUUUAUGAAAUACCGAGACAAGCGUAGCCGUGCAAUGGCGGGCCUCGACCUCUGAUGAGGUGACACUUCCGAGUGUCCGGAGGAUUACAAAGGACGGUGAGCACUCAAAUCCUGUCAUUCGGAGUUUCAUCGCAUCCUUUGGUGUGG